GUUGGGCGUGGUGGCACGCCUGUAAUCCCAGCAGCUUGUAAACUGGGGCAGGAGGAUCACAAGUUCAAAGCCAGCCUCAGCAAUUUAGCAAGGCCCUGAGCAACUCAGUGAAACCCCGUCUCUA
This 124-nucleotide small RNA is filed under the name Marmota monax (woodchuck). The record is from RNAcentral. Lineage: Eukaryota; Metazoa; Chordata; Mammalia; Rodentia; Sciuridae.